UUCAGUUAUUUUCCUGGAGCCUUGGCUGACGAAAAGUGCUAACGUUGAAAAUAAGAUCUAUUUUAUAUGGACGAACGUGUGGUAUACAGUUAAAGGGCACUUUCCCAAAAUGCCGAGACAAUUUCACAUAAUAAUUUUGCUACAAACUAGUUUUCGCUAGUAUGCGACUGCUUGUGCCGUACCGUUUUUCAUUUCAACUCACCCGUCACAACUGUUACAAGUAUGCUUCUGCUCACCAGUAGUGAUUAGUGUUGAUCCAGAUGAUAACCUUCAGUGAAAUGCCGGUGUUGAAGCGCCUUGUUGUUUUGGUGCAUUGUUAAGCGUAUUUUGCUUGACAGACAAACCAGUAAGCAGAUUUGACUAACAAACGGACAUCAUUGGAAUGACCUCAGACAGUGCCAAUCAGAUUUACACCACGAAAAAUAGAAUUUCCUGGUUUUAAUCAAAUCUACACUUAGUCGAUAAAAUUGCUGAAUGCAGUUCCACCGUCAGAUCUUGUAUUAAAAUUCUGAAAAAAUGAAUGCUUUUCUUGAUGAACUACUGCCAAAACUGCCGUCCGAAGAAAACAUUCUGUGGGAAGUAAAUCGCAACACCUCAGAAGAGACUCUCCAAAAGAAGUGUGAAAUAUCGGGAAAAAUCACAUUCAAGCAGCUCCGGCAACAUAUCAGCAGCGUUUCUAGUCGGAUACAAGGAAGAAAAUCAGAAACGAUUUGUCACUAGCGAAAAAUGCUUCGCCCGUUAGAGCGAUUUCAGAAAGUUUCACGUGCCUAUCCAAACCAUGUUUGACGAUGAUUUUAUGAAAGUUUGCAGGGCAGUUCAAAUCAACAAGUUGAGAAGGUCUGAGGGAGGCUAUGUAAAGGAUGUGUUGGGAAUAUUCAUUAAAAAGGCGGAAGGCGGUUUAAUUCAAUCAAUUUCCUUUUGAUUAUAUUUACUACUGUAGCUUGCAGGUGCUAUAAUCUAGGCUAAAUCGCCAGUUACCCCAAUCAAUCCGAUAUCCAUCACGAACAUCUCACAAGUAGCCAAGGCCAGUGGUUAUCCGGACGUUUCUAUAGGUAGAACCUUGUGUGAGCACAAUGAACGAUUUCCUUAUCCGGGAUGAUGCAUUAGAAGAACUGCGUAAUACAGGCUGAUAAUAAUAAGGCGUAAUAUAAGGCUGAUAGUCAAAUUAAUUGGCUUAACAUAUGUAAGUGUGACACAGUUAUUCUGAGUAGUACUUUUAUUUUGUAAAAACAUUGCUUCAAGCGUAAUUCCCACUAUAUUGGGCUCUACAUAGGACGAAAUACAACCGGAACUCGUUCGCGCGUCGGGUUUCAUUUGUUGAAGGUAUGUUCAUAAGACCGUACUUCUCAGACAGACUUGACACGUCAGGUAACACAGUUCGCUCAGCAGCCAUCUUUUUCAUACGCUGAUUUUUUUCUAAAUAAACUGUCAACGUAUUCUAAAUUCUUUAUACUCUAAAAUAGCCAACAUUCCCCAAAUCAACAAAGCGAACGCCGGAUUGAACAAACUAACAUUUAUUGAUAAAACGAACUGAUUAGGCUCGCAGUACAAACCGGUAGCUUAAGCGGACUUCCAAUGAUAAUUGCACGCUUUUUUUAUUUGGACAGAAAUUGAAUUUACUUGUACGGUUUCAGUUCAUCGUGGAAUAUCCUUUUAAGGGCCAGUACUUCGAAGUUGCGAUCAUGUUGAUAAACGGGUAAGAUGCUGAACGAACAUCAAUUCGACAGUAUCAUUUUCAACUGACUUGUCCGGUAACGUGAUCACUUAUGUAAGUUCUCGCCGUGUUCUUAAUUUAUCGUCCAUGUUUUACCCUAAUAUGCCUGAUUCUUCCAUGUCCCAAUCGUUUGUGGAGUACCGAACAAAUUGUUGCGUAUCUACGAAUUGUGUUGAUUAGGUUCAACACGAUGUUAAUUAAUUCGUGAUAUUUUGCACAGCAGUGAACCUCACGAGUUCAACAGAAUAAUCAGAGAACGCAGCGUUAAUUGUCUAGUUUAGAGACUUUAGUGAUAGAGGUCCAAUUUUAAUGCGGAUUUUUGCCAAAACGGUGUAUUUUAACCUGAAUAAACCGAAUCCGAGAGCGGAAAUGUAACAUUAUUAACCAAAGUUUGGUAAACUGAAAAAAAUAAUUUGUGCUUAAUAAUACCCAUAAUAGCGACAGUGAUUUAACCAAUGAGCUUAUGCUGGGAGCUAGUGUGAUGCGGCUUGGCCGCAUAUCCGAGGCCAAGGAUCCGAAGUGGCGCAAAGCCGCUGAGGAUCUGUUGGACGAGACAUUGAUUAACCCGUAGUUGGAAUUGCAAGCGAACCUGUGAUCCUCUCGUGUACCCGGUUUACUCAAACAUAGGGGCUAUAGCUAGUUAAAAGCCGACUGAGCGGUAGCGUAGUAAGUGUUCGGUUGACUAAUGUGGCUACGCCACAUCGCUUUCUGGUGCACUGUCCGACUUCGCUACCCCAAAUCCUUCGGAUCCUUGGCCGCGGAUAUGCGGCCAAGCCGCAUCACACUAGCUCCCAGCAUAAGCUCAUUGGUUAAAGCACUGUCGCUAUUAUUUUAUCAGUUUACCAAACUUUGGUUAAUAAUUUUACAUUUCCGCACUCGGAUUCGGUUUAUUUAGGUUAAAAUUAACCUAUCAAUAAAGUCUCUAAACUAGACAAUUACCAACGCAGCAUUGAACUUCUAAAGCAGCGUUCGCUAGAUUGAAGGAAUACCGGUGACGAUAGCAAAAUGGUUUUGGUAUGUCUAUUGCUACAAGACUGGUUGGAUCGGCUGCUAUUCAUCCUGCGAUUGCUCCAUCAAUAUCUACUGAAACAGGAGUAAGGUUCCAUUAUUACUGUCUAGUUUUGCUAGAAGAUUCACAGUAAAUAUUUGUAACCUUAUACAUACUCACGAUACAAUCAAUGCUGGCCGGCAGCAGUUUACAUCGCAUGGUACCAAAUUUUUCACAAAAAACCUAAACAAAUGUUGUCAAAAAACAGACCUAAGAACGACAUGCUUUGAUCGAAUCUUUCAAAACGUGUUGCCAUUUCGUACUGUUUUUCAGUAUUGGCAACUUGUCAAACAAUAUUCAUGCAUAGGGUUCUUUAAAUCUAGUUUUCGGUGAGUCAUAAAAUGAUCACCCUUUUGUAUGGAACCUUGGCGUAUUUAAUUUGUAUUUGAUUGUACUCACUGUAGUAGCCCUUCGCUAUCACGCAACAAUUCAAACAGCGAAAUAAAGUGCUUAUUCGUAGAAACCUU
Molecule: long non-coding RNA, 3229 nt
Organism: Topomyia yanbarensis
Lineage: Eukaryota; Metazoa; Arthropoda; Insecta; Diptera; Culicidae
Exons: 2
Source: RefSeq, a predicted model, not a curated record